UGGCUCAGUUUCCUGGUGGGGUGGGCUCAGCCUGCCUCACCUCCCUUCACAGGAGCCUAGAGCAGAGAGGCUGGGAGCCCUCCCGCACAGGGGAGGCGAUUAAGACAGAAGCCUCGCCUGCAUUGUCCUUGCCUCACAUUU
Camelus dromedarius (Arabian camel) is the source of this 141-nucleotide non-coding RNA. Lineage: Eukaryota; Metazoa; Chordata; Mammalia; Artiodactyla; Camelidae. The record is from Ensembl.